GAUGAACGCUGGCGGCGUGCCUAAUACAUGCCAGUCGAGCGAACAGACGAGGAGCUUGCUCCUCUGACGUUAGCGGCGGACGGGUGAGUAACACGUGGAUAACCUACCUAUAAGACUGGGAUAACUUCGGGAAACCGGAGCUAAUACCGGAUAAUAUAUUGAACCGCAUGGUUCAAUAGUGAAAGACGGUUUUGCUGUCACUUAUAGAUGGAUCCGCGCCGCAUUAGCUAGUUGGUAAGGUAACGGCUUACCAAGGCGACGAUGCGUAGCCGACCUGAGAGGGUGAUCGGCCACACUGGAACUGAGACACGGUCCAGACUCCUACGGGAGGCAGCAGUAGGGAAUCUUCCGCAAUGGGCGAAAGCCUGACGGAGCAACGCCGCGUGAGUGAUGAAGGUCUUCGGAUCGUAAAACUCUGUUAUUAGGGAAGAACAAAUGUGUAAGUACCUAUGCACGUCUUGACGGUACCUAAUCAGAAAGCCACGGCUAACUACGUG
Molecule: ribosomal RNA, 497 nt
Filed under: uncultured bacterium
Lineage: Bacteria
Description: partial 16S ribosomal RNA
Rfam family: Bacterial small subunit ribosomal RNA
Source: RNAcentral